This 240-nucleotide ribosomal RNA is filed under the name uncultured Lactobacillus sp. Its description in RNAcentral is "partial 16S ribosomal RNA". It matches the Rfam family "Bacterial small subunit ribosomal RNA", at positions 122 to 355 of the family's 1533-position model. The record is from RNAcentral. Lineage: Bacteria; Bacillati; Bacillota; Bacilli; Lactobacillales; Lactobacillaceae.
UAACCUGCCCAAGAGAUCGGGAUAACACCUGGAAACAGAUGCUAAUACCGGAUAAUAACAGAUGAUGCCUAUCAACUGUUUAAAAGAUGGUUCUGCUAUCACUCUUGGAUGGACCUGCGGUGCAUUAGCUAGUUGGUAGGGUAACGGCCUACCAAGGCGAUGAUGCAUAGCCGAGUUGAGAGACUGAUCGGCCAUAUUGGGACUGAGACACGGCCCAAACUCCUACGGGAGGCAGCAGCU